GUGGACGGGGGCCCGCACAAGCGGCGGAGCAUGUGGAUUAAUUCGAUGCAACGCGAAGAACCUUACCAAGGCUUGACAUACACCGAAAACUUUCAGAGAUGAGUGCUCCGCAAGGUCGGUAUACAGGUGGUGCAUGGUUGUCGUCAGCUCGUGUCGUGAGAUGUUGGGUUAAGUCCCGCAACGAGCGCAACCCUCGUUCUAUGUGCCAGCG
RNAcentral lists this ribosomal RNA (211 nucleotides) under uncultured Actinomycetes bacterium. Its description in RNAcentral is "uncultured actinobacterium partial 16S ribosomal RNA". It matches the Rfam family "Bacterial small subunit ribosomal RNA", at positions 910 to 1123 of the family's 1533-position model. Lineage: Bacteria; Bacillati; Actinomycetota; Actinomycetes. The record is from RNAcentral.